GACGAACGCUAGCGGCGUGCCUAAUACAUGCAAGUAGAACGCACAGUUUAUACCGUAGCUUGCUACACCAUAGACUGUGAGUUGCGAACGGGUGAGUAACGCGUAGGUAACCUGCCUGGUAGCGGGGGAUAACUAUUGGAAACGAUAGCUAAUACCGCAUAAUAUUGAUUAUUGCAUGAUAAUUGAUUGAAAGAUGCUAUUGCAUCACUACCAGAUGGACAUGCGUUGUAUUAGCUAGUAGGUGAGGUAACGGCUCACCUAGGCGACGAUACAUAGCCGACCUGCGAGGGUGAUCGGCCACGCUGGGACUGAGACACGGCCCAGACUCCUACGGGAGGCAGCAGUAGGGACUCUUCGGCAAUGGACGAAAGUCUGACCGAGCAACGCCGCGUGAGUGAAGAAGGUUUUCGGAUCGUAAAGCUCUGUUGUAAGAGAAGAACGGGUGUGAGCGUGGAAAGUUCACACUGUGACGGUAUCUUACCAGAAAGGGACGGCUAACUACGUG
RNAcentral lists this ribosomal RNA (505 nucleotides) under uncultured bacterium. RNAcentral describes it as "partial 16S ribosomal RNA". It matches the Rfam family "Bacterial small subunit ribosomal RNA", at positions 28 to 507 of the family's 1533-position model. The record is from RNAcentral.